UACGGAGGGUGCAAGCGUUAUCCGGAUUCACUGGGUUUAAAGGGUGCGUAGGCGGGUUGGUAAGUCCGUGGUGAAAUCUCCGAGCUUAACUCGGAAACUGCCGUGGAUACUAUCAAUCUUGAAUAUCGUGGAGGUAAGCGGAGUAUGUCAUGUAGCGGUGAAAUGCUUAGAGAUGACAUAGAACACCAAUUGCGUAGGCAGCUUACUACACGAUCAUUGACGCUGAGGCACGAAAGCGUGGGGAGCAAACAGG
This 253-nucleotide ribosomal RNA is filed under the name uncultured bacterium. RNAcentral's name for it is "partial 16S ribosomal RNA". It matches the Rfam family "Bacterial small subunit ribosomal RNA", at positions 524 to 776 of the family's 1533-position model. The record is from RNAcentral.